This 379-nucleotide unclassified non-coding RNA is filed under the name uncultured bacterium. RNAcentral describes it as "contains 16S-23S intergenic spacer region". The record is from RNAcentral.
UCCAGUUAAUCACCGGCAGUCUUCCUAGAGUGCCCACCAUGACGUGAUGGCAACUAAGAAUAAAGGUUGCGCUCGUUGCGGGACUUAACCCAACACUUCACAGCACGAGCUGACGACAGCCAUGCAGCACCUGUGUAAAGGUCCCUUGCGGGAAGUGCACUUUCAUGCAUUGUCCUAAACAUGUCAAGCCUGGGUAAGGUUCUUCGCGUAGCCUCGAAUUAAACCACAUGCUCCACCGCUUGUGCGGGUCCCCGUCAAUUUCUUUGAGUUUCAGUCUUGCGACCGUACUCCCCAGGUGGUGGAUUUAAUGCGUUAGCGUCGGCGCUGGAGGGAUCGACACCCCCAACACCUAAUCCACAUCGUUUACGGCAAGGACUAC